RNAcentral lists this ribosomal RNA (919 nucleotides) under uncultured bacterium. RNAcentral's name for it is "bacterial SSU rRNA". It matches the Rfam family "Bacterial small subunit ribosomal RNA", at positions 8 to 882 of the family's 1533-position model. The record is from RNAcentral.
AGAGUUUGAUCAUGGCUCAGGAUGAACGCCGGCGGUGUGCCUAAUACAUGCAAGUCGUACGCACUGGCCCAACUGAUUGAUGGUGCUUGCACCUGAUUGACGAUGGAUCACCAGUGAGUGGCGGACGGGUGAGUAACACGUAGGUAACCUGCCCCGGAGCGGGGGAUAACAUUUGGAAACAGAUGCUAAUACCGCAUAACAACAAAAGCCACAUGGCUUUUGUUUGAAAGAUGGCUUUGGCUAUCACUCUGGGAUGGACCUGCGGUGCAUUAGCUAGUUGGUAAGGUAACGGCUUACCAAGGCGAUGAUGCAUAGCCGAGUUGAGAGACUGAUCGGCCACAAUGGAACUGAGACACGGUCCAUACUCCUACGGGAGGCAGCAGUAGGGAAUCUUCCACAAUGGGCGCAAGCCUGAUGGAGCAACACCGCGUGAGUGAAGAAGGGUUUCGGCUCGUAAAGCUCUGUUGUUGGAGAAGAACGUGCGUGAGAGUAACUGUUCACGCAGUGACGGUAUCCAACCAGAAAGUCACGGCUAACUACGUGCCAGCAGCCGCGGUAAUACGUAGGUGGCAAGCGUUAUCCGGAUUUAUUGGGCGUAAAGCGAGCGCAGGCGGUUGCUUAGGUCUGAUGUGAAAGCCUUCGGCUUAACCGAAGAAGUGCAUCGGAAACCGGGCAACUUGAGUGCAGAAGAGGACAGUGGAACUCCAUGUGUAGCGGUGGAAUGCGUAGAUAUAUGGAAGAACACCAGUGGCGAAGGCGGCUGUCUGGUCUGCAACUGACGCUGAGGCUCGAAGGCAUGGGUAGCGAACAGGAUUAGAUACCCUGGUAGUCCAUGCCGUAAACGAUGAGUGCUAGGUGUUGGAGGGUUUCCGCCCUUCAGUGCCGGAGCUAACGCAUUAAGCACUCCGCCUGGGGAGUA